RNAcentral lists this long non-coding RNA (262 nucleotides) under Ananas comosus (pineapple). RNAcentral's name for it is "long non-coding RNA (ACOM_LNC041637)". The record is from RNAcentral. Lineage: Eukaryota; Viridiplantae; Streptophyta; Magnoliopsida; Poales; Bromeliaceae.
GGCGCCACCAACAGACCGCCGGACGGACAGAGUCUCCCCUGUACAUCCGAGGCGUCGCAAUCAAAACAAUACGAGAGAUUCCAACCAGGAACAGUAUUCACUCACAGAUUGCAUAAGGAAGUAUCAAAAAUAUAAACUACUAAGUUAUUACGGCAUUCAACUUAGAUGCAUUUUACAACAUAAUUUUUCUUUUACAAUCAAUCUCCAAAUACAAUCAUAAUUAGCACAUCGUUUACUUAUUACAAUUUGAUACAUCUUGAUA